This 428-nucleotide ribosomal RNA is filed under the name uncultured bacterium. RNAcentral describes it as "partial 16S ribosomal RNA". It matches the Rfam family "Bacterial small subunit ribosomal RNA", at positions 354 to 796 of the family's 1533-position model. The record is from RNAcentral.
GUAGGGAAUAUUGCGCAAUGGACGAAAGUCUGACGCAGCGACGCCGCGUGAGUGAUGAAGGCCCUAGGGUCGUAAAGCUCUGUUGAAUGGGAAGAAAAAAAUGACGGUACCAUUCGAGGAAGGACCGGCUAACUUCGUGCCAGCAGCCGCGGUAAUACGAGGGGUCCUAGCGUUGUUCGGAAUCAUUGGGCGUAAAGGGUGUGUAGGUGGCCAUGUAAGUCAGGUGUGAAAGCCCCGGGCUCAACCCGGGAAGUGCACUUGAUACUGCGUGGCUUGAGUACCGAAGAGGGUAGUGGAAUUCCAGGUGUAGUGGUGAAAUACGUAGAUAUCUGGAGGAACACCGGUGGCGAAGGCGGCUACCUGGUCGAGUACUGACACUGAGACACGAAAGCAUGGGGAUCAAACAGGAUUAGAAACCCGAGUAGUCC